GAUGUGUCUAUGUGUUACUUCCU
This 23-nucleotide non-coding RNA is filed under the name Arabidopsis thaliana (thale cress). The record is from RNAcentral. Lineage: Eukaryota; Viridiplantae; Streptophyta; Magnoliopsida; Brassicales; Brassicaceae.